This 254-nucleotide ribosomal RNA is filed under the name uncultured bacterium. RNAcentral's name for it is "partial 16S ribosomal RNA". It matches the Rfam family "Bacterial small subunit ribosomal RNA", at positions 524 to 776 of the family's 1533-position model. The record is from RNAcentral.
UACGAAGGGUCCAAGCGUUGUUCGGAAUCAUUGGGCGUAAAGCGCGCGCAGGCGGAUCAGUAAGUCAGAUGUGAAAUCUCAGGGCUCAACCCUGAAACUGCGUCUGAAACUACUAGUCUAGAGUGUCGGAGGGGGUAGGGGAAUUUCACGUGUAGGGGUAAAAUCCGUAGAGAUGUGAAGGAACACCGGAGGCGAAGGCGCCUGCCUGGACGACUACUGACGCUGAGGCGCGAAAGCCGUGGGGAGCAAACAGG